CACCUGGACAGUCAGACAGACAGUGAGACAGAGAGAAGAACAGCUGGAUUAGUGUCUGGACCUGAUGAUGUCAUUGAGCCCCUCACAGUGACUAUCCAAUCACAGGCCUCCACAGUUUAGUUUAUUAAUGUGUCAUGAAUAUUAAUGAGCUAAUUGUAUGGUGUGUAAUGAAUUUUUCUCAUGUCGCACUUGGCUUGGUUAAAGACGUCGAUCUCCUCGAGCACCACACUGUCGUUUAACGAAAACACGGAGCUUUUCGCCAGAACCUUUAGGACCACGCCAGCCUCUGAGCCAAUAAACAUCACCGUGUAGUUCCUGUAGGGACCUGCUGCAUUAUCAACUGCCACAGCAGUCAACCGUAACGGCAAACGGGGUUGAAGCCAUUGGUGCCACAGAUAAAGAUGAGAUCAUCAUUUCUGGGAACCAAAACUUUAAUAAAGUUAUGGCACUCGUCCUGAGAGAGAGACAGAUGGAGUGUGUCCUGGAUCCUGGUCAUCAGCUGAAAGUCCAGUCGAUGUUGGGAUUCAUUUCCGGAUGGCCGACCUCGGAAAACUGGAUACUGUCGUGAAUCUUGGGUGUGAAGAACAGAUGAAGAUGAGUGAAGAUUAAUGACUGAUUAGCUGUAAUUGUGUAGAUACUGUAAUUGUGUCUCUGUCCUUCAGUCACUUAUACUGUCCAUAAUGCCCAGUCUGUAUGUGUCUGUGUGCACGGGUGUGUGUGUGUGCUUGCAUGUGUGUAGACUGUGUGUGUUUAGUGUGUUUGUGUCUGUGCGUGUGUGUGUGUGGAGUGUGUGUUUAGUGUGUAUGUGUCUGUGAGUAUGUGUGUGUGUGUUUAGUGUGUAUGUGUCUGUGCGUAUGUGUGUGUGGAGUGUGUGUGUUUAGUGUGUAUGUGUCUGUGAGUAUGUGUGUGUGUGUUUAGUGUGUAUGUGUCUGUGCGUAUGUGUGUGCACGGGUGUGUGUGUUGAGUGUGUGUUUAGUGUUUGUGUCUGUGCAUGUGUGUGUGUGUCUUGAGUGUGUGUUUAGUGUUUGUGUCUGUGCAUGUGUGUGUGUGUGUUGAGUGUGUUGAGUGUGUGUUUAGUGUUUGUGUCUGUGCAUGUGUGCGUGUGUGUGUUUGUGCAAUGUUUUAAACUCAUGGUAUCUUAAGUCUGUAACUUAGUGAUCCAGCAUUAAUGUAUUCAGUGAUAGAGAUUUAAGCUCUUAUGUACGUCGCUCUGGAUAAGGGGGUCUGUCACAUGCUGUAAAUGUAAAUGCUUGUGUUUGUGUGUUUAGUGUGUGUGUUUGUGUAUGUGUCUUUUUAGUGUGUGUGUGUUUGUGUAUGUGUGUGUUUAGUG
Molecule: long non-coding RNA, 1330 nt
Organism: Tachysurus vachellii
Lineage: Eukaryota; Metazoa; Chordata; Actinopteri; Siluriformes; Bagridae
Exons: 3
Source: RefSeq, a predicted model, not a curated record